This 492-nucleotide ribosomal RNA is filed under the name uncultured bacterium. RNAcentral's name for it is "partial 16S ribosomal RNA". It matches the Rfam family "Bacterial small subunit ribosomal RNA", at positions 29 to 507 of the family's 1533-position model. The record is from RNAcentral.
AGUGAACGCUGGCGAUAGGCCUAACACAUGCAAGUCGAACGGCAGCACAGUAAGAGCUUGCUCUUACGGGUGGCGAGUGGCGGGCGGGUGAGGAAUAUAUCGGAAUCUACUUUUUCGUGGGGGAUAACGUAGGGAAACUUACGCUAAUACCGCAUACGACCUACGGGUGAAAGCAGGGGAUCUUCGGACCUUGCGCGAUUGAAUGAGCCGAUGUCGGAUUAGCUAGUUGGCGGGGUAAAGGCCCACCAAGGCAGCGAUCCGUAGCUGGUCUGAGAGGAUGAUCGGCCACACUGGAACUGAGACACGGUCCAGACUCCUACGGGAGGCAGCAGUGGGGAAUAUUGGACAAUGGGCGCAAGCCUGAUCCAGCCAUACCGCGUGGGUGAAGAAGGCCUUCGGGUUGUAAAGCCCUUUUGUUGGGAAAGAAAAGCAGCAGGUUAAUACCCCGCUGUUCUGACGGUACCCAAAGAAUAAGCACCGGCUAACUUCGUG